GCUUCAGUGGCCUAGCGGUUAGAACGUCCGCCUCGGACGCGGAAGGUAGCGGGUUCGAAUCAUGGCAGAUUCA
Potamilus streckersoni is the source of this 73-nucleotide non-coding RNA. The record is from the annotation of a GenBank genome assembly. Lineage: Eukaryota; Metazoa; Mollusca; Bivalvia; Unionida; Unionidae.